Molecule: long non-coding RNA, 484 nt
Organism: Glycine soja
Lineage: Eukaryota; Viridiplantae; Streptophyta; Magnoliopsida; Fabales; Fabaceae
Exons: 3
Source: RefSeq, a predicted model, not a curated record
UUGGCCAGCUUACAAAGAAGCAGGUUUUGGCAGAAUAUUGAUGCUUACUCAUGUAACUUGUUGCUCGUAAUUUCUGUAUACGCACCUAUGACUAGUAUUCAGCGUGUGGUAUUCAUAUAACACAUGCACGGUUUGUAUGCCACAGGGAGGCUGUCAAAAAAUGUUUUUAAUCUGUAUUUUGAUAAAGGAUCUUCUAUGGAAGCUAUUGUCGCAACACUCUGCCCUUUGAAAAUUGUUUUGGAUAGGAUUGUUUUGACUUCAACAGGGGUGCUCCUAGGUUGCUGGUUGCAAAGACUUGAUGUUGAAGGUGGGAAUGACAACAUUGGUGAGUGUCUCCAAGUUUCUCUCUAACGACAUCAUGUAGGUAUUUCAACUUUUGCUAAUAUAAUGUAAUUACUCUUUCAAUACUAUGUAUAUUUAUCAUGUUGACAUAUAUUAUGGUUCCACAUGAAUGGCAUACUUACUAUAGGAUUAGUAUUAUGAC